AUUUUGUAUAUAGUUGUCAAUUAAAGCUGUACUGAGAAGAGCUGAAUGUUGUGAAGAAGCCAGACAACGAGAUGAGAAGCUCCUGGGAUGAGUGACCAUCAGGCCAUCUGCAAAUUAACUGAGUGAAUUACCCUCGCCUGGCUUCUGCCUCAUCUGUUCCAUACCAAAUUAUAUCUACACGGUUCCUGCUGUCACAUACCUGCCUCAGGCAAAGCCUCCUGUUUGGAUUUUUCAUUCUUGUAUUUAUGGUUACCAUGAGCCUUGAGGUUGACAACAAUUUAUUUUUUAUUUGAUGAUAUUGAUGAUUCUCAUAUUCUAAAAGUUUGGGAGAAAAUUACGGUGAAUUUUUGCAAGAAUUCAGAGAAUCAGAGGCCUGAAGGGCCAGGAGAGAGAAAAGAGGCAAGAUUUUUUAUUGGUAAGUUUUUUCAAUACUAUACAUAACUUUUUGCAAUCUUAAAAUAAUUUUCUGAAGGAUUAUUACAUUUAACACUAAGAUUUGGUAGGAAAGGUAAGGAAUUGUUCUGCAAUGAAUAAGGAAACAGAAACAGACAGUGGGAAAGCAACUCAUCCAAAGUCACAGACAUAAUGGCAGCACUGGGGCUACAACU
RNAcentral lists this long non-coding RNA (608 nucleotides) under Callithrix jacchus (white-tufted-ear marmoset). RNAcentral describes it as "lncRNA (ENSCJAG00000076714.1)". The record is from RNAcentral. Lineage: Eukaryota; Metazoa; Chordata; Mammalia; Primates; Cebidae.